GGGGGACGUUAUCGGAAUUACUGGGCGUAAGCGCACGCAGGCGGUCUGUCAAGUCGGAUGUGAAAUCCCCGGGCUCAACCUGGGAACUGCAUUCGAAACUGGCAGGCUAGAGUCUUGUAGAGGGGGGUAGAAUUCCAGGUGUAGCGGUGAAAUGCGUAGAGAUCUGGAGGAAUACCGGUGGCGAAGGCGGCCCCCUGGACAAAGACUGACGCUCAGGUGCGAAAGCGUGGGGAGCAAACAGGAUUAGAUACCCUGGUAGUCCACGCCGUAAACGAUGUCGAUUUGGAGGUUGUGCCCUUGAGGCGUGGCUUCCGGAGCUAACGCGUUAAAUCGACCGCCUGGGGAGUACGGCCGCAAGGUUAAAACUCAAAUGAAUUGACGGGGGCCCGCACAAGCGGUGGAGCAUGUGGUUUAAUUCGAUGCAACGCGAAGAACCUUACCUGGUCUUGACAUCCACAGAACUUAGCAGAGAUGCUUUGGUGCCUUCGGGAACUGUGAGACAGGUGCUGCAUGGCUGUCGUCAGCUCGUGUUGUGAAAUGUUGGGUUAAGUCCCGCAACGAGCGCAACCCUUAUCCUUUGUUGCCAGCGGUUCGGCCGGGAACUCAAAGGAGACUGCCAGUGAUAAACUGGAGGAAGGUGGGGGAUGACGUCAAGUCAUCAUGGCCCUUACGACCAGGGCUACACACGUGCUACAAUGGCAUAUACAAAGAGAAGCGACCUCGCGAGAGCAAGCGGACCUCAUAAAGUAUGUCGUAGUCCGGAUUGGAGUCUGCAACUCGACUCCAUGAAGUCGGAAUCGCUAGUAAUCGUAGAUCAGAAUGCUACGGUGAAUACGUUCCCGGGCCUUGUACACACCGCCCGUCACACCAUGGGGAGUGGGUUGCAAAAGAAGUAGGUAGCUUAACCUUCGGGGAGGGCGCUUACCACUUUGUGAUUCAUGACUGGGGUGAACUAGAAAAAAACCCCCCCCACACAAAAAAAAAGGGGCAAAAAAAAACGGGGGGGAAC
This 1009-nucleotide ribosomal RNA is filed under the name Klebsiella pneumoniae. RNAcentral describes it as "bacterial SSU rRNA". It matches the Rfam family "Bacterial small subunit ribosomal RNA", at positions 533 to 1533 of the family's 1533-position model. The record is from RNAcentral. Lineage: Bacteria; Pseudomonadati; Pseudomonadota; Gammaproteobacteria; Enterobacterales; Enterobacteriaceae.